RNAcentral lists this long non-coding RNA (1719 nucleotides) under Bemisia tabaci. RNAcentral's name for it is "lncRNA ENSSSA1NGG009567". Lineage: Eukaryota; Metazoa; Arthropoda; Insecta; Hemiptera; Aleyrodidae. The record is from RNAcentral.
CACAAAAGGAAGGAGCAAAUUAUUUAUCCAGCAACUCGUCUUUUUCUAAAUUUGUAUGCGAAAAAUCUUGAAUCUACAAAUGUUAUCAUUUUGUUUUCCAAAUAUUUUUGCAGUUUGAGAUUGUACAACCCUGUCCCAAACCUGAUUGCCAAAGCAUCUGUCGAUUUUGAAUCAUUUAAUAAUUUGGCAGCUUCCGUGAACAGCACAACACCAUUUGCCUCCAUACCUCAUUUAGGAGUUGACCUCAAAGCUAUCACCACUGACAUCAACUUUGAGCGGUAUUUGAAGAUCCUUUGGAAAAAUAACUCUGCACUUUUCAAUAUGACUCACCACAUGAAAGUUGGUCCGAGCAGUAAUGUAACAAACGGAGUGGUGAUGAUUGAAUUUCCUGUUGCCUCCCAACAUAUUGGAAAACUUGUUUAUGGUUAUGAGGAUUCUGGAAAGAAGCUGAACGGGUUCUCUACAGUGAUUUUCAACAAUGAAAAAAUCAUAGACUCCAAAGUCUCUCGAGAAACAUACUUUGGACCUCAUUUCCGAGAGGAUAUCGUGAACCUGUCUUUGGACAACUAUUUUGUUCCCAUUGGAAUUGGAUACCUUGGUCAGCAUAGCCAGCCAAAUUUGAAAGUGAAGGACACUUUUGUCAAUUUUAAGAGGAUGGAGUUCUACAAGCUUCAUAACAGAACGGCCUUCAACCUUACAGGAGAGGUGUUGGUUAAUCAAAAUGCAACUGGAAGACUUGACAGCUUCAAAUGUGAGUAAUAAUAAUGUCUUCAAACUAAAAAUUAAAGUUACCGCUUGGAAAUAUUUAAGAAAUCUGGAAGAAAUUUCAACAAUUGAACAGCCUUAGACAUUUAAUCAGUAUUGUUUUUGUGAAGUCUCUAUAGUUAAAAUUAAAGCAUACAACUUCUGAACUGUCUCAAUGAAAAUCAACUGGUUAGCUGCCUCAGUUCAAAAUAUUUAACUCCAACCCUGAUGCCUUUAUACUAUCCGAUCAAUAAUUAAGUCUCAAGAAAUCACUUGUGUAAAGGCUGAAAUUUACUAUCGAUGAUAACUACUAAUUAAUUAAACCUUAUUUCUUUUGUGCUGCUCUAGUAAUGAAUGCAAAGCGAAGUCUUGUAAUGCAGUCAUACCUGGGCAAAAAUUAUCAUUAUGAGCAUAGAACGUUCCUGACACUGAGGAAUGAAUUAUGGGCUGGAUAUGAAGUGAAACUGAGCAACAAAGAGACGGUAAGUUUUUGUGUGUUGAAAGUUCAAAGUUGUCAAUUGAGAUGAAUUUUUAUUCCAAGGAAAGGAGAUUCUAAUUUAUAGACUUGUGCAACUCUGAGAGUAUUCUCUCUGAAAUUACCUGAUGCUUCUUAUGUUAAAAAAUCUGUGGAAACGUAGAACAUUAUCAAAAUCUUACGCAUGUGAGAACGCCUUACACAUUUUUUACAAAACUAGUAAAUCUAACGUUGGACAAUAACUAUCCUCCCUCUCCUGGGUUUUUUUUUUUUUUUUUAAAGAAUCCAUGUCAGUUACUUUGUCUGUUGGAAUAUGUUCUCCUCAUAUCUAAUUCCAUAUUGAUUUUUGCAGAAUUGGUUUGGCAAGGCAGUAGAAUUCAAAUUGACUUAUCCUCUUAGAAAUAUCACUCUGAUAGGGGACUUGAUCCUUGGGGACUCAUUCCUCAACUCUCAGUUAACGGUGAACUCGGACACAAUUUACAGCGCCAAGACAGUAGGAA